GGUCUGAGACACGGCCCAGACUCCUACGGGAGGCAGCAGUGGGGAAUUUUGGACAAUGGGCGCAAGCCUGAUCCAGCAAUGCCGCGUGCAGGAAGAAGGCCUUCGGGUUGUAAACUGCUUUUGUCACGGAAGAAAUCUUCUGGGUUAAUACCUCGGGAGGAUGACGGUACCUGAAGAAUAAGCACCGCCUAACUACGUGCCAGCAGCCGCGGUAAUACGUAGGGUGCGAGCGAAUCGGAAUUACUUGGGCGUAAAGCGUGCGCAGGCGGCUUUGCAAGACAGUUGUGAAAUCCCCGGGCUCAACCUGGGAACUGCAUUUGUGACUGCAAGGCUAGAGUACGGCAGAGGGGGAUGGAAUUCCGCGUGUAGCAGUGAAAUGCGUAGAUAUGCGGAGGAUCACCAAUGGCGAAGGCAAUCCCCUGGGCCUGUACUGACGCUCAUGCACGAAAGCGCGGGGAGCAAAC
Molecule: ribosomal RNA, 464 nt
Filed under: uncultured bacterium
Lineage: Bacteria
Description: bacterial SSU rRNA
Rfam family: Bacterial small subunit ribosomal RNA
Source: RNAcentral